GACGAACGCUGGCGGCGUGCCUAAUACAUGCAAGUCGAACGCAGUGGGGACGGGUGAGUAACACGUGGGUAACCUCCCAUCAGAGGGGACAACACUUGGAAACAGGUGCUAAACCGAUACUGAUGGAUGGACCCGCGGUGCAUUAUGUAGUUGGUGAGGUAACGGCGCACCAAGGCCACGAUGCAUAGAGGGCCUGAGAGGGGGAUAGGCCACAGUGGGCCUGAGACACGGCCCAGACUCCUAAGGGAGGCAGCAGUAGGGAAUCUUCGGCAAUGGACGAAAGUCUGACCGAGCAACGCCGCGUGAGUGAAGAAGUUUUUCGGAUCGUAAAACUCUGUUGUUAGAGAAGCGGUAUCUAACCAGAAAGCCACGGCUAACUACGUGCCAGCAGCCGCGGUAAUUC
RNAcentral lists this ribosomal RNA (403 nucleotides) under uncultured bacterium. RNAcentral's name for it is "partial 16S ribosomal RNA". It matches the Rfam family "Bacterial small subunit ribosomal RNA", at positions 28 to 526 of the family's 1533-position model. The record is from RNAcentral.